Molecule: ribosomal RNA, 782 nt
Filed under: uncultured Acidobacteriaceae bacterium
Lineage: Bacteria; Pseudomonadati; Acidobacteriota; Terriglobia; Terriglobales; Acidobacteriaceae
Description: bacterial SSU rRNA
Rfam family: Bacterial small subunit ribosomal RNA
Source: RNAcentral
AGAGUUUGAUCAUGGCUCAGAAUCAACGCUGGCGGCGUGCCUAACACAUGCAAGUCGAGCGAGAAAGGGUAGCAAUACCUGAGUACAGCGGCGCACGGGUGAGUAACACGUGGAUAACCUGCCUCAAAGUGGGGGAUAACACCGGGAAACCGGUGCUAAUACCGCAUAUUCUGACGAGAUCUGAGGGUUUUGUCAGGAAAGGGGCAAUUCGCUAUGAGAGGGGUCCGCGGCUGAUUAGCUAGUUGGUGAGGUAAUGGCUCACCAAGGCAACGAUCAGUAGCCGGUCUGAGAGGACGGUCGGCCACGCUGGAACUGAGACACGGUCCAGACUCCUACGGGAGGCAGCAGUGGGGAAUUUUUGGCAAUGGGCGAAAGCCUGACCAAGCAACGCCGCGUGGAUGAUGAAGUAUCUCGGUACGUAAAAUCCUUUCGACGGGGACGAAACCGCAAGGUUGACGGUACCCGUAGAAGAAGCCCCGGCUAACUCCGUGCCAGCAGCCGCGGUAAUACGGGGGGGGGCAAGCGUUGUUCGGAAUUACUGGGCGUAAAGGGCGCGUAGGCGGCCUGCUAAGUCGGGUGUGAAAACUCUGGGCUCAACCCAGAGCCUGCAUUCGAAACUGACGGGCUUGAGUUCUGGAGGGGAAAGCGGAAUUCCUGGUGUAGCGGUGAAAUGCGUAGAUAUCAGGAGGAACACCGGUGGCGAAGGCGGCUUUCUGGACAGAAACUGACGCUGAUGCGCGAAAGCUAGGGGAGCAAACAGGAUUAGAUAUCUCUGGUAGUCC